AUGUGUGACCAUACAAACGAUAAUCGACCAGAUCCUAUCAGAAUUCCACAGUUAAGCGUACUUGGACGGAAGUAAUAUUAACAUAAGUAUCCUCUUAGGAACUCCAUGUGUUGCACCUU
This is a non-coding RNA of Lupinus albus (white lupine), 119 nucleotides long. NCBI's taxonomy places the organism in Eukaryota, Viridiplantae, Streptophyta, Magnoliopsida, Fabales, Fabaceae. The record is from the annotation of a GenBank genome assembly.